UGGGGAAUCUUCCGCAAUGGACGAAAGUCUGACGGAGCAACGCCGCGUGAGUGAUGACGGCCUUCGGGUUGUAAAGCUCUGUUAAUCGGGACGAAUGGUUCUUGUGCAAAUAGUGCGAGGAUUUGACGGUACCGGAAUAGAAAGCCACGGCUAACUACGUGCCAGCAGCCGCGGUAAUACGUAGGUGGCAAGCGUUGUCCGGAAUUAUUGGGCGUAAAGCGCGCGCAGGCGGAUUGGUCAGUCUGUCUUAAAAGUUCGGGGCUUAACCCCGUGAUGGGAUGGAAACUGCCAAGCUAGGGUAUCGGAGAGGAAAGUGGAAUUCCUAGUGUAGCGGUGAAAUGCGUAGAUAUUAGGAAGAACACCAGUGGCGAAGGCGACUUUCUGGACGAAAACUGGCGCUGAGGCGCGAAAGCCAGGGGAGCGAACGGG
Molecule: ribosomal RNA, 429 nt
Filed under: bacterium
Lineage: Bacteria
Description: partial 16S ribosomal RNA
Rfam family: Bacterial small subunit ribosomal RNA
Source: RNAcentral